RNAcentral lists this long non-coding RNA (572 nucleotides) under Homo sapiens (human). RNAcentral's name for it is "HSALNT0182542". Lineage: Eukaryota; Metazoa; Chordata; Mammalia; Primates; Hominidae. The record is from RNAcentral.
AAAUUACAUCAUGUCUCAGGAAGUCUCCUCUCUCCAACAGAACCAGCGGAUAUUCUCAGCCAAGGCUUUGCAAGAUGCUCUUGAUUGAUGCUAAUCCAUGAGCUGUGGACUGACUAGAGCUGAGAAGAUGGUCUCCAUUCUGGAUGUCAUAAGGAACAGAAAUGGCAAGCAAUUCACCAAUCUGUGUGCUCCUACUUCCUUACUAUAGAUUUGUCCAUAGAAGGCAGGAACUGUAUUUCCUCAUCUCUCUUGCUAAUGAAAUGUGAGGAGAAAUGACGUGUAUCCUCUCUACUCUUUCUUUCCUCACCUUUAAGCUAAAUGCAAAUGACAAUGAGGCCAAUGCUUAGAGGACUGCUGAGCCAUGAGAUGGAAGGAACUCAGGACAUGGAAGAAAACAACAUAUGAGACAAGAUAUAUCUAUCUGAGUCUGACAGUUAAAUGAAAAAGAAUUAAAUUUCAAUUAUGUUAUGCCACUGAGACUUAGAGGUCUACUUUUUUGCAGUAGCUAUUACUCUAACCUAAUACCAUACCCCUAAUAAAACAAUGUAAGAAAACAUUAAUUUUGAGAGGAG